Molecule: ribosomal RNA, 253 nt
Filed under: uncultured bacterium
Lineage: Bacteria
Description: partial 16S ribosomal RNA
Rfam family: Bacterial small subunit ribosomal RNA
Source: RNAcentral
UACAGAGGGGGCAAGCGUUAUUCGGAAUUAUUGGGCGUAAAGGGCGCGUAGGCGGCGAUUCAAGUGACGGGUGAAAUCCCUCGGCUUAACCGAGGAACUGCCUGUCAGACUGGAUGGCUUGAGACCGGGAGAGGUGAGUGGAAUUCCCAGUGUAGCGGUGAAAUGCGUAGAUAUUGGGAGGAACACCAGUGGCGAAGGCGGCUCACUGGACCGGAACUGACGCUGAGGCGCGAAAGCGUGGGGAGCAAACAGG